This 253-nucleotide ribosomal RNA is filed under the name uncultured bacterium. RNAcentral describes it as "partial 16S ribosomal RNA". It matches the Rfam family "Bacterial small subunit ribosomal RNA", at positions 524 to 776 of the family's 1533-position model. The record is from RNAcentral.
UACAGAGGGGGCAAGCGUUAUUCGGAAUUAUUGGGCGUAAAGGGCGCGUAGGCGGCCAAGCAAGUCAGGGGUGAAAUCCCUCGGCUCAACCGAGGAACUGCCUCUGAAACUGCAUGGCUUGAGACCGGGAGAGGGUGGUGGAAUUCCCAGUGUAGCGGUGAAAUGCGUAGAUAUUGGGAGGAACACCGGUGGCGAAGGCGGCCACCUGGACCGGUUCUGACGCUGAGGCGCGAAAGUGUGGGGAGCAAACAGG